GAUCCUGGCUCAGGACGAACGCUGGCGGCGUGCUUCAUACAUGCAAGUCGAACGAGAAGCUGACUUCGGUCAGUGGAAAGUGGCGGACGGGUGAGUAAUAUGUAGAGAAUCUGCCCUUGAGUGGGGGACAACAGAGGGAAACUUCUGCUAAUACCCCAUAUGAGCUAACUUGAAAUAGUUAUCUUGAAAACUCCGGUGCUCAAGGAUGAGUCUGCAUCUGAUUAGCUAGUUGGCGGUGUAAUGGACCACCAAGGCGACGAUCAGUAGCUGGUUUGAGAGGAUGAUCAGCCACAAUGGGACUGAGACACGGCCCAUACUCCUACGGGAGGCAGCAGUAGGGAAUUUUGCGCAAUGGGCGAAAGCCCUGACGCAGCAACGCCGCGUGAACGAUUAAGCCCUUCGGGGUGUAAAGUUCUGUCAGUAGGGACGAAUUUUGACGGUACCUACAGAGGAAGCACCGGCUAACUCCGUGCCAGCCGCCGC
Molecule: ribosomal RNA, 483 nt
Filed under: uncultured bacterium
Lineage: Bacteria
Description: bacterial SSU rRNA
Rfam family: Bacterial small subunit ribosomal RNA
Source: RNAcentral